UGAGGAACAUGACCUUCGGCGGGGGAUAGCCGGCCCAACGGCCGGGUAAUACCGCGUACGACCACUCGGGGACAUCCCCAGGUGGUGAAAGCAGCAAUGCGCCGAUGGAGUGCCACGCGGCCUAUCAGCUAGUUGGUGAGGUAACGGCUCACCAAGGCGACGACGGGUAGCUGGUCUGAGAGGAUGGCCAGCCACAUUGGGACUGAGACACGGCCCAGACUCCGUACGGGAGCAG
This 235-nucleotide ribosomal RNA is filed under the name uncultured bacterium. Its description in RNAcentral is "partial 16S ribosomal RNA". It matches the Rfam family "Bacterial small subunit ribosomal RNA", at positions 118 to 347 of the family's 1533-position model. The record is from RNAcentral.